AACGAACGCUGGCGGCAGGCCUAACACAUGCAAGUCGAGCGAGACCUUCGGGUCUAGCGGCGGACGGGUGAGUAACGCGUGGGAACGUGCCCUUUUCUACGGAAUAGCCUCGGGAAACUGAGCGUAAUACCGUAUACGCCCUUUGGGGGAAAGAUUUAUCGGAGAAGGAUCGGCCCGCGUUGGAUUAGGUAGUUGGUGGGGUAAUGGCCUACCAAGCCUACGAUCCAUAGCUGGUUUGAGAGGAUGAUCAGCCACACUGGGACUGAGACACGGCCCAGACUCCGACGGGAGGCAGCAGUGGGGAAUCUUAGACAAGGGGGGCAACCCUGAUCUAGCCAUGCCGCGUGAGUGAUGAAGGCCUUAGGGUUGUAAAGCUCUUUCAGCUGGGAAGAUAAUGACGGUACCAGCAGAAGAAGCCCCGGCUAACUCCGUG
RNAcentral lists this ribosomal RNA (433 nucleotides) under uncultured bacterium. Its description in RNAcentral is "partial 16S ribosomal RNA". It matches the Rfam family "Bacterial small subunit ribosomal RNA", at positions 29 to 507 of the family's 1533-position model. The record is from RNAcentral.